AUUGAACGCUGGCGGCAGGCCUAACACCUGCACGUCGAGCGAGCGGCGGCCGGGUGAGUAAUGUCUGGGACACUGCCUGAUGGAAGGGGAUAACUACUGGAAACGGUAGCUAAUACCGCAUACCAUCAGAUUUUCCCAGAUGGGCUUAGUUAGUAGGUGGGGUAACGGCUCACCUAGGCGACCAUCCCUAGCUGGUCUGAGAGGAUGACCCGCAACCAUGGAACUGAGACACGGGCCAGACUCCGAAGGGAGGCAGCAGGGGGGAAUAUUGCACAAGGGGCGCAAGCCUGAUGCAGCCAUGCCGCGUGUGUGAAGAAGGCCUUCGGGUUGUAAAGCACUUUCAGCGGGGAGGCGUUACCCGCAGAAGAAGCACCGGCUAACUCCGUGCCAGCAGCCGCGGUAAUAC
RNAcentral lists this ribosomal RNA (406 nucleotides) under uncultured bacterium. RNAcentral describes it as "partial 16S ribosomal RNA". It matches the Rfam family "Bacterial small subunit ribosomal RNA", at positions 30 to 526 of the family's 1533-position model. The record is from RNAcentral.